Molecule: ribosomal RNA, 781 nt
Filed under: uncultured fungus
Lineage: Eukaryota; Fungi
Description: eukaryotic LSU rRNA
Rfam family: Eukaryotic large subunit ribosomal RNA
Source: RNAcentral
GAACUUAAGCAUAUCAAUAAGGCGAGGAACAGAAACCAACAGGGAUUCCCCCAGUAGUGGCGAAUGAAGCGGGAAAGCUCAAGUUUGAAAUCCGGCGGGUGACCUCCGGAGUUUGUAAGCUGAUGAGGUAUCGACCGACGUGGUCCGGGCCCAAUUUCCUUGGAAACAGGAGGUCAUGGAGGGUGAGAACCCCGUCCGUGGCUCGGGUGCCAUCGUCCCUGUGUCGUACCCUCUAAGAGUCGGGUUGUUUGGGAAUGCAGCUCAAAAUGGGUGGUAAAUUUCAUCUAAAGCUAAAUACUGGCGAGAGACCGAUAGCAAACAAGUAGAGUGAUCGAAAGAUGAAAAGUACUUUGAAAAGAGAGUGAAACAGUACGUGAAAUUGUUGAAAGGGAAGCGUUUGGCAUCAGCCCUUGGCGUCCGUCGAACAUCCAGGUUUCUAUCUGGUGCACUCGUCGGCCGUCGGGCCAGCGUCGGCUCUGCCUGUCGGAGAAAGGCCCGAGGGAUGUGGCUCACCUUCGGGGGAGCGUUAUAACCUCGGGUGUCAUGCGAUGUGGUGGGGCCGAGGUCUGCGGACUCUGUCCUAGGACGCUGGCGUAAUGGUUCCAAGCGACCCGUCUUGAAACACGGACCAAGGAGUCUAACAUCUAUGCGAGUGUUUGGGUGUCAAGCCCGUCCGCGCAAUGAAAGUGAAUGCAGGCGGGAGCCGUAAAAGGUGCACCGCCGACCGGUCCGGGGGUUUACCGAAGGAUCUGAGUAAGAGCAUAGCUGUUGGGACCCGAAA